CUUCCGGAUAUAUUCAAAAAGUUCAAGAACAGCAGAAUUCAAAAGGUUAUAACGAUCUCCAUUUGCAACAAAUGCAUCUACAACAGGUUUGAAAAGGUUGUUCUUCACUAUAUGAUUCAUCAUAUCUUCAUCCUGAAAAAAUAAAACCAUCCAAAGCUGACGUCUAAGUCAAAGGCAAAGCAGAAGAAAACUCAUCUGUCCUAGGAUAGGUGGAUUCUGGACAUGUGGAUUUGUACAAAGUUAUUCAUGAUUUAUUCAAAGCAAAUGGCACAAGCACAUUCAACCCACUGUUGUUGCAAGUCGAAAUACUUCACAAAACAGAUUCAGCUUCUUUGCCCAAUGCUUACUUUUUCUAUCAGUAGAUCAGAUACAGAUGCAGAAGGAUAUUUAAGCAAACUAAGUUAUAACGAUCUCCAUUUGCAACAAAUGCAUCUACAACAGGUUUGAAAAGGUUGUUCUUCACUAUAUGAUUCAUCAUAUCUUCAUCCUGAAAAAAUAAAACCAUCCAAAGCUGACGUCUAAGUCAAAGGCAAAGCAGAAGAAAACUCAUCUGUCCUAGGAUAGGUGGAUUCUGGACAUGUGGAUUUGUACAAAGUUAUUCAUGAUUUAUUCAAAGCAAAUGGCACAAGCACAUUUAACCCACUGUUGUUGCAAGUCGAAAUACUUCACAAAACAGAUUCAGCUUCUUUGCCCAAUGCUUACUUUUUCUAUCAGUAGAUCAGAUACAGAUGCAGAAGGAUAUUUAUGCAAACUAAAGAAUCCUUGUGCCAAACAUUCGAUAAAGUGUGUAAUUUGCACGACCAAUAUGCAUCCUCAAGGAUAAUAAAUCACAUAAUCUAAAUGCAGUAUAUAGGGCAAGGGGAAAGAGUACUGUAGAGAUAGGAAUAGGUACAUAGUUUUAUCUAAGAACAUUUGAAACGUAAGGUCAAUUUUUUACCCUUUUACUUUUGUAUCUACGGUCAAUUUAUGACUAAGCCUCCGUUUGGGAAGAAUUUAUAUACGGUUUAAUUUAUAGAUAGAUAAAAAUGAGUGGUGAAUAAGUACAUAGUCCUUCUGUGGGUCCAUUGGAAUGUGUGUUUGAAAAUGAAGUUCGACUAUUUAUAAA
RNAcentral lists this long non-coding RNA (1105 nucleotides) under Olea europaea (common olive). RNAcentral's name for it is "long non-coding RNA (OEUR_LNC011943)". Lineage: Eukaryota; Viridiplantae; Streptophyta; Magnoliopsida; Lamiales; Oleaceae. The record is from RNAcentral.